GCUCGUGAGAAGGAGGGCAGAGGUCCCUAGAUCGGUAGGCAAAAAUCUCAGAGAACCACAAUAGAGGAACAAAUCCUCAACACCAAACAACACCCAAGCGUAGAGCGCAAUAUACAACACCCAAAACAGGACGUAGGGUAUUACGCUACUCUGGCAGCCCGAACCUGUAUGAAUUCGUGUCUUGUGUCCUCACUUUUACCUUCGACUUCCAAGUCUGACGAUCCCCCACCAACCAAUCUACUAUCUCGGGAUACCCCUCGAUAGAUUGAUGGGUAUAAAACAUCGACAUCUUCUGCAAAAUCUUCUUCAGCCUUGCCCAUUUCAAAAUCUGCAAAGGCACCAUCUUCAGUCCAGUCAGUUGGAAUGUUGUUAUUAACAUCAUCUUCUUCACCGUCAUCCAUUACAACUUCUCUUUCAUCUUGCUUGGUCCAAAGAAUAUAGUUAUCCAUGAAACCCCAACGAAAUAUGUGGCCUUGUAGAGUUUUUCUAUUAGAGUCA
This 498-nucleotide long non-coding RNA is filed under the name Setaria viridis. RNAcentral describes it as "long non-coding RNA (SVIR_LNC005867)". The record is from RNAcentral. Lineage: Eukaryota; Viridiplantae; Streptophyta; Magnoliopsida; Poales; Poaceae.